This 1412-nucleotide ribosomal RNA is filed under the name Escherichia coli. Its description in RNAcentral is "bacterial SSU rRNA". It matches the Rfam family "Bacterial small subunit ribosomal RNA". The record is from RNAcentral. Lineage: Bacteria; Pseudomonadati; Pseudomonadota; Gammaproteobacteria; Enterobacterales; Enterobacteriaceae.
CCGUAGCGGUAAGCAUGGAAAAAGCUUGCUUUUUGGCUGACGAGCGGCGGACGGGUGAGUAAUGUCUGGGAAACUGCCUGAUGGAGGGGGAUAACUACUGGAAACGGUAGCUAAUACCGCAUAACGUCGCAAGACCAAAGAGGGGGACCUUCGGGCCUCUUGCCAUCGGAUGUGCCCAGAUGGGAUUAGCUUGUUGGUGGGGUAACGGCUCACCUAGGCGACGAUCCCUAGCUGGUCUGAGAGGAUGACCAGCCACACUGGAACUGAGACACGGUCCAGACUCCUACGGGAGGCAGCAGUGGGGAAUAUUGCACAAUGGGCGCAAGCCUGAUGCAGCCAUGCCGCGUGUAUGAAGAAGGCCUUCGGGUUGUAAAGUACUUUCAGCGGGGAGGAAGGGAGUAAAGUUAAUACCUUUGCUCAUUGACGUUACCCGCAGAAGAAGCACCGGCUAACUCCGUGCCAGCAGCCGCGGUAAUACGGAGGGUGCAAGCGUUAAUCGGAAUUACUGGGCGUAAAGCGCACGCAGGCGGUUUGUUAAGUCAGAUGUGAAAUCCCCGGGCUCAACCUGGGAACUGCAUCUGAUACUGGCAAGCUUGAGUCUCGUAGAGGGGGGUAGAAUUCCAGGUGUAGCGGUGAAAUGCGUAGAGAUCUGGAGGAAUACCGGUGGCGAAGGCGGCCCCCUGGACGAAGACUGACGCUUCAGGUGGCGAAAGCGUGGGGAGCAAACAGGAUUAGAUACCUUGGUAGUCCACGCGGUAAACGAUGUCGACUUGGAGGUUGUGCCCUUGAGGCGUGGCUUCCGGAGUUAACGCGUUAAGUCGACCGCCUGGGGAGUACGGCCGCAAGGUUAAAAUUCAAAUGAAUUGACGGGGGCCCGCACAAGCGGUGGAGCAUGUGGUUUAAUUGGAUGCAACGGGAAGACCCUUACUUGUUCUUGACAUCCACGGAACUUUCCAGAGAUGGAUAGGUCCCUUCGGGAAUUGUGAGACAGGUGCUGCAUGGCUUUCGUCAGUUCGUGUUGUGAAAUGUUGGGUUAAGUCCCGCAACGAGCGCAACCCUUAUCCUUUGUUGCCAGCGGUCCGGCCGGGAACUCAAAGGAGACUGCCAGUGAUAAACUGGAGGAAGGUGGGGAUGACGUCAAGUCAUCAUGGCCCUUACGACCAGGGCUACACACGUGCUACAAUGGCGCAUACAAAGAGAAGCGACCUCGCGAGAGCAAGCGGACCUCAUAAAGUGCGUCGUAGUCCGGAUUGGAGUCUGCAACUCGACUCCAUGAAGUCGGAAUCGCUAGUAAUCGUGGAUCAGAAUGCCACGGUGAAUACGUUCCCGGGCCUUGUACACACCGCCCGUCACACCAUGGGAGUGGGUUGCAAAAGAAGUAGGUAGCUUAACCUUCGGGAGGGCGCUCCCCU